Molecule: ribosomal RNA, 1970 nt
Filed under: human gut metagenome
Description: bacterial LSU rRNA
Rfam family: Bacterial large subunit ribosomal RNA
Source: RNAcentral
GAAAGUAAGAAAGGGCGUAUGGCGGAUGCCUAGGCUCACGGAGGCGAUGAAGGACGUGAUAAGCUGCGAUAAGCUUCGGGUAGGUGCAAAUAACCCUUGAUCCGGAGAUUUCCGAAUGGGACAACCUAGCCGUCUGAAGGACGGUUACUAGCACUUAAGUGUUAGAGCUAACGCAGGGAACUGAAACAUCUUAGUACCUGUAGGAAGAGAAAAUAAAUGAAUGAUUCCCCCAGUAGUGGCGAGCGAACGGGGAACAGCCCAAACCGUUGACGUCGCAAGGCGCCAGCGGGGUUGUAGGACCGCGACAUUGUAUGCAAAUCGUGAACAGAACACUUUGGAAAAUGUGACCAUAGACGGUGAUAGUCCAGUAUGUGAAGCGAAAUGCAGCAUAGCGGUAUCCUGAGUAACGCGGGACACGAGGAAUCCUGCGCGAAUCUGCCGGGACCAUCCGGUAAGGCUAAAUACUCCCGUGAGACCGAUAGCGAACGAGUACUGUGAAGGAAAGGUGAAAAGAACCCCGAGCAGGGGAGUGAAAUAGUUCCUGAAACCAUACGCCUACAAGCGGUCGGAGCAUCUUACGAUGUGACGGCGUGCCUUUUGCAUAAUGAUCCUACGAGUUACCGUCACUGGCGAGGUUGAGUGUCACGAGACACGUAGCCGCAGUGAAAGCGAGCCUGAAUAGGGCGCAUAGUCAGUGGGGGUAGACGCGAAACCAAGUGAUCUACACUUGGCCAGGAUGAAGUCCCGGUAACACGGGAUGGAGGUCCGCACCAAUAAGCGUUGAAAAGCUUCUGGAUGAGCCGAGUGUAGGAGUGAAAGGCCAAUCAAACUUGGAGAUAGCUCGUACUCCCCGAAAGGCAUUUAGGUGCCGCGUCGGAUGGUCACCGUGAGAGGUAGAGCGACCGAUAGGACAAGAGGGCUUCACCGCCUAUCGAGUCCUGACGAACUCCGAAUGCUCACGGUCUGCAGUCCGGCAGUAAGGGGGCGGGUGCUAAGGUCCGUCCCCGAGAGGAGAAGAAUCCAGACCGCCGUCUAAGGUCCCGGAGUUCUGCCUGAGUUAGUCUAACGAAGUCUGGUCCCUAUGACAGCUAGGAUGUUGGCUUGGAAGCAGCCAUUCAUUCAAAGAGUGCGUAACAGCUCACUAGUCGAGGGUCCGGGCAUGGAUAAUAAUCGGGUAUAAGGCAGACACCGAAGGCGCGGGAUAGCAUUUAAGAAAGUAUCGGUAGGGGAGCAUACUCACAGCGUGGAAUGGUGUACGUAAGUUAUCCUGGAGCGGUGAGUAAAGCAAAUGUAGGAAUAAGUAACGAUAAGGAGGGUUAGAUUCCCUCCCGCUGUAAGACCAAGGUUUCCCGGGCAAUGCCAAUCAGCCCGGGGUCAGUCGGGUCCUAAGUCUAAGCCGAACGGCGAUGGCGAUGGCAGAGACGGUUAAUAUUCCGUCACUGCCGCAUGGGGCGACGUGGAGACGGAGCAGUGAAACCACCGCGGGGCGACGGAAGUCCCCGUUGAAGAGUGUAGGUGUUGAGGAUGGCAGGCAAAUCCACCGUCCGAGCUGAACUUGAUAGUAUGGAGUCUUCUUCGGAAGAAUCCAAUAGUGUGGGUAAUCAUACUCCCGAGAAAAUCCGCUAAGCUUAACCCAUGCGGCACCCGUACCGCAAACGGACACACGUGGUCGGGUAGAACAUACUAAGGCGUUGAGAGAUUCAUGGUUAAGGAACUAGGCAAAUUGACCCUGUAACUUCGGGAUAAAGGGUCCUCGUGAUGAGCGAGGCGCAGAGAAUAGGUCCAGGCAACUGUUUAACAAAAACACAGGGCUGUGCAAACUCGAAAGAUGACGUAUACAGCCUGACACCUGCCCGGUGCCGGAAGGUUAAGAGGAGAUGUCACUCGCAAGAGGAAGCAUUGAAUUGAAGCCCCGGUAAACGGCGGCCGUAACUAUAACGGUCCUAAGGUAGCGAAAUUCCUUGUCGGGU